This 465-nucleotide ribosomal RNA is filed under the name uncultured bacterium. RNAcentral's name for it is "partial 16S ribosomal RNA". It matches the Rfam family "Bacterial small subunit ribosomal RNA", at positions 338 to 795 of the family's 1533-position model. The record is from RNAcentral.
CCUACGGGAGGCAGCAGUAGGGAAUCUUCCACAAUGGGCGAAAGCCUGAUGGAGCAACGCCGCGUGGGUGAAGAAGGUCUUCGGAUCGUAAAACCCUGUUGUUAGAGAAGAAAGUGCGUGAGAUUAACUGUUCACGUUUCGACGGUAUCUAACCAGAAAGCCACGGCUAACUACGUGCCAGCAGCCGCGGUAAUACGUAGGUGGCAAGCGUUAUCCGGAGUUAUUGGGCGUAAAGGGAACGCAGGCGGGCUUUUAAGGCUGAUGUGAAAGCCUUCGGCUUAACCGGAGUAGUGCAUUGGAAACUGGGAGACGUGAGUGCAGAAGAGGAGAGUGGAACUCGAUGUGUAGCGGUGAAAUGCGUAGAUAUAUGGAAGAACACCAGUGGCGAAAGCGGCUCUCUGGUCUGUAACUGACGCUGAGGUUCGAAAGCGUGGGUAGCAAACAGGAUUAGAUACCCCUGUAGUC